UACAGAGGUCUCAAGCGUUGUUCGGAUUCAUUGGGCGUAAAGGGUGCGUAGGCGGCGCGGUAAGUCGGGUGUGAAAUCUCGGAGCUUAACUCCGAAACUGCAUUCGAUACUGCCGUGCUUGAGGACUGGAGAGGAGACUGGAAUUUACGGUGUAGCGGUGAAAUGCGUAGAUAUCGUAAGGAAGACCAGUGGCGAAGGCGGGUCUCUGGACAGUUCCUGACGCUGAGGCACGAAGGUCAGGGGAGCAAGCGGG
RNAcentral lists this ribosomal RNA (253 nucleotides) under uncultured bacterium. RNAcentral's name for it is "partial 16S ribosomal RNA". It matches the Rfam family "Bacterial small subunit ribosomal RNA", at positions 524 to 776 of the family's 1533-position model. The record is from RNAcentral.